RNAcentral lists this ribosomal RNA (484 nucleotides) under uncultured bacterium. RNAcentral describes it as "partial 16S ribosomal RNA". It matches the Rfam family "Bacterial small subunit ribosomal RNA", at positions 28 to 523 of the family's 1533-position model. The record is from RNAcentral.
GACGAACGCUGGCGGCGCGCUUAACACAUGCAAGUCGAACGAUGAUGCUGGAGCUUGCUCCAGUUGAUUAGUGGCGAACGGGUGAGUAACACGUGAGCAAUCUGCCCUUGACUCUGGGAUAACUGCGGGAAACUGUAGCUAAUACCGCAUCCUUUCACCGGGGGGCAUCCGCUGGUGAUGAAAGAAUUUCGGUCAAGGAUGAGCUCGCGGCCUAUCAGCUAGUUGGUGAGGUAACGGCUCACCAAGGCAACGAUGCGUAGCCGACCUGAGAGGGUGAUCGGCCACACUGGGACUGAGACACGGCCCAGACUCCUACGGGAGGCAGCAGUGGGGAAUAUUGCACAAUGGGCGCAAGCCUGAUGCAGCAACGCCGCGUGAGGGAUGACGGCCUUCGGGUUGUAAACCUCUUUUAGCAGGGAAGAAGCGAAAGUGACGGUACCUGCAGAAAAAGCACCGGCUAACUACGUGCCAGCAGCCGCAGUAA